Molecule: ribosomal RNA, 483 nt
Filed under: uncultured bacterium
Lineage: Bacteria
Description: partial 16S ribosomal RNA
Rfam family: Bacterial small subunit ribosomal RNA
Source: RNAcentral
AUUGAACGCUGGCGGCAGGCCUAACACAUGCAAGUCGAGCGGAUGAAGGGAGCUUGCUCCUGGAUUCGGCGGCGGACGGGUGAGUAAUGCCUAGGAAUCUGCCUGGUAGUGGGGGAUAACGUCCGGAAACGGGCGCUAAUACCGCAUACGUCCUGAGGGAGAAAGUGGGGGAUCUUCGGACCUCACGCUAUCAGAUGAGCCUAGGUCGGAUUAGCUAGUUGGUGGGGUAAAGGCCUACCAAGGCGACGAUCCGUAACUGGUCUGAGAGGAUGAUCAGUCAACCUGGAACUGAGACACGGUCCAGACCCCUACGGGAGGCAGCAGGGGGGAAUUUUGGACAAUGGGCGAAAGCCUGAUCCAGCCAUGCCGGGUGUGUGAAGAAGGUUUUCGGAUUGUAAAGCACUUUAAGUUGGGGGGAAGGGCAGUAAGUUAAUACCUUGCUGUUUUGACGUUACCAACAGAAUAAGCACCGGCUAACUUCGU